CACUCCUACGGGAGGCAGCAGUGGGGAAUAUUGGACAAUGGGCGCAAGCCUGAUCCAGCCAUGCCGCGUGAGUGAUGAAGGCCCUAGGGUUGUAAAGCUCUUUCACCGGUGAAGAUAAUGACGGUAACCGGAGAAGAAGCCCCGGCUAACUUCGUGCCAGCAGCCGCGGUAAUACGAAGGGGGCUAGCGUUGUUCGGAUUUACUGGGCGUAAAGCGCACGUAGGCGGACUAUUAAGUCAGGGGUGAAAUCCCGGGGCUCAACCCCGGAACUGCCUUUGAUACUGGUAGUCUUGAGUUCGAGAGAGGUGAGUGGAAUUCCGAGUGUAGAGGUGAAAUUCGUAGAUAUUCGGAGGAACACCAGUGGCGAAGGCGGCUCACUGGCUCGAUACUGACGCUGAGGUGCGAAAGCGUGGGGAGCAAACAGGAUUAGAUACCCGAGUAGUCCCAUGAU
This 451-nucleotide ribosomal RNA is filed under the name uncultured organism. RNAcentral describes it as "partial 16S ribosomal RNA". It matches the Rfam family "Bacterial small subunit ribosomal RNA", at positions 334 to 801 of the family's 1533-position model. The record is from RNAcentral.